RNAcentral lists this ribosomal RNA (253 nucleotides) under uncultured bacterium. Its description in RNAcentral is "partial 16S ribosomal RNA". It matches the Rfam family "Bacterial small subunit ribosomal RNA", at positions 524 to 776 of the family's 1533-position model. The record is from RNAcentral.
UACGGAGGGUGCGAGCGUUACCCGGAUUUACUGGGUGUAAAGCGUGCGCAGGCGGUUAUGUAAGACAGAGGUGAAAUCCCCGGGCUCAACCUGGGAACUGCCUUUGUGACUGCAUGACUAGAGUACGGCAGAGGGGGAUGGAAUUCCGCGUGUAGCAGUGAAAUGCGUAGAUAUGCGGAGGAACACCGAUGGCGAAGGCAAUCCCCUGGGCCUGUACUGACGCUCAUGCACGAAAGCGUGGGGAGCAAACAGG